This 357-nucleotide ribosomal RNA is filed under the name uncultured bacterium. Its description in RNAcentral is "bacterial SSU rRNA". It matches the Rfam family "Bacterial small subunit ribosomal RNA", at positions 9 to 353 of the family's 1533-position model. The record is from RNAcentral.
GAGUUUUGAUCAUGGCUCAGGAUGAACGCUAGCUACAGGCUUAACACAUGCAAGUCGAGGGGAAACGACAUCGAAAGCUUGCUUUUGAUGGGCGUCGACCGGCGCACGGGUGAGUAACGCGUAUCCAACCUGGCCCACCACUUGGGGAUAACCUUGCGAAAGUAAGACUAAUACCCAAUGAUAUCUCUAGAAGACAUCUGAAAGAGAUUAAAGAUUUAUCGGUGAUGGAUGGGGAUGCGUCUGAUUAGCUUGUUGGCGGGGUAACGGCCCACCAAGGCGACGAUCAGUAGGGGUUCUGAGAGGAAGGUCCCCCACAUUGGAACUGAGACACGGUCCAAACUCCUACGGGAGGCAGAA